CCUACGGGGCGCAGCAGUGGGGGAUAUUGGACAAUGGGGGGAACCCUGAUCCAGCGACGCCGCGUGAGUGAAGAAGUAUUUCGGUAUGUAAAGCUCUGUCAGCAGGGAAGAAAGAAAUGACGGUACCUGACCAAGAAGCCCCGGCUAACUACGUGCCAGCAGCCGCGGUAAUACGUAGGGGGCAAGCGUUAUCCGGAAUUACUGGGUGUAAAGGGAGCGUAGACGGUUAAGUAAGUCUGGAGUGAAAGGCCGGGGCCCAACCCCGGGACUGCUCUGGAAACUAUUGAACUUGAGUGCAGGAGAGGUAAGCGGAAUUCCUAGUGUAGCGGUGAAAUGCGUAGAUAUUAGGAGGAACACCAGUGGCGAAGGCGGCCUGCUGGACUGAAACUGACGUUGAGGCUCGAAAGCGUGGGGAGCAAACAGGAUUAGAUACCCCAGUAGUC
This 443-nucleotide ribosomal RNA is filed under the name uncultured bacterium. RNAcentral describes it as "partial 16S ribosomal RNA". It matches the Rfam family "Bacterial small subunit ribosomal RNA", at positions 338 to 795 of the family's 1533-position model. The record is from RNAcentral.